UACGUAGGGUGCAAGCGUUGUCCGGAAUUAUUGGGCGUAAAGAGCUCGUAGGCGGUUUGUCGCGUCUGCUGUGAAAUCCCGAGGCUCAACCUCGGGUCUGCAGUGGGUACGGGCAGACUGGAGUGCGGUAGGGGAGAAUGGAAUUCCUGGUGUAGCGGUGGAAUGCGCAGAUAUCAGGAGGAACACCGAUGGCGAAGGCAGCUCGCUGGGACGGUACUGACGCUGAGGCGCGAAAGCGUGGGGAGCGAACAGG
This 253-nucleotide ribosomal RNA is filed under the name uncultured bacterium. Its description in RNAcentral is "partial 16S ribosomal RNA". It matches the Rfam family "Bacterial small subunit ribosomal RNA", at positions 524 to 776 of the family's 1533-position model. The record is from RNAcentral.